AUGAUUUUAAAUAUCGAUCCCUACACAUGUCGAAAAUAUGAUUUCGUUUAAAAUCUUAGAAAGUGUUUCGUUUUACUCUUUUUUCUCUCAACAGAGAAAAAAAAAAAAACUUUUUUAGGGGCACUUUUUAGUAUUACAUAAAUAUAAAAAGUUACUUUAUACUGGAAAAGCAUCGCAGAUCCGAGACGUCGCACUGUCGCAGCAAAUCAGCAAAUCAGCAAAUCAGCAAAUCAGCAAUACAGCGUAGACUCUCGUCUGGGGAUCCGAAUCAGGGCUUUUUGGCGACUCGAAAGGCCACUAAAACGAUGUCAAAUUUUAGCCAAAGUAUCAAUCAUUAUUAUCGCGGAUGACAUGUCGUCACCACAAUUUAUCAUUUCCUUUACCAACGAUUCCCCAUCCACCAAUCCCCACUCGCCUCCUCCACACGCGGCCCCACUUAACCCCACCGCAUCCAACGCGUGUCCCCAUCCGCGCGUGGCCCCCCCUUUCUCCAUGUCGCCACCUUGUACUCGCCUCAGUUUUCUAACACGCCAUUUU
RNAcentral lists this long non-coding RNA (537 nucleotides) under Citrus maxima (pomelo). Its description in RNAcentral is "long non-coding RNA (CMAX_LNC003602)". Lineage: Eukaryota; Viridiplantae; Streptophyta; Magnoliopsida; Sapindales; Rutaceae. The record is from RNAcentral.